UACGUAGGGUGCAAGCGUUGUCCGGAAUUAUUGGGCGUAAAGAGCGUGUAGGCGGCCCGGUAAGUCCGCUGUGAAAGUCCAGGGCUCAACCCUGGGAUGCCGGUGGAUACUGUCGGGCUCGAGUCCGGAAGAGGAGUGUGGAAUUCCUGGUGUAGCGGUGAAAUGCGCAGAUAUCAGGAGGAACACCAGUGGCGAAGGCGGCUUCCUGGACACCAACUGACGCUGAGACGCGAAAGCGUGGGGAGCAAACAGG
This 253-nucleotide ribosomal RNA is filed under the name uncultured bacterium. RNAcentral describes it as "partial 16S ribosomal RNA". It matches the Rfam family "Bacterial small subunit ribosomal RNA", at positions 524 to 776 of the family's 1533-position model. The record is from RNAcentral.